UGCAGCGACGCCGCGUGAGGGAUGACGGCCUAUCGGGUUGUAAACCUCUUUCAGUAGGGACGAAGCGCAAGUGACGGUACCUAUAGAAGAAGGACCGGCCAACUACGUGCCAGCAGCCGCGGUAAUACGUAGGGUCCGAGCGUUGUCCGGAAUUACUGGGCGUAAAGAGCUCGUAGGUGGUUUGUCGCGUUGUUCGUGAAAACUCACAGCUCAACUGUGGGCGUGCGGGCGAUACGGGCAGACUAGAGUACUGCAGGGGAGACUGGAAUUCCUGGUGUAGCGGUGGAAUGCGCAGAUAUCAGGAGGAACACCGGUGGCGAAGGCGGGUCUCUGGGCAGUAACUGACGCUGAGGAGCGAAAGCGUGGGGAGCGAACAGGAUUAGAUACCCUGGUAGUCCACGCCGUAAACGGUGGGUACUAGGUGUGGGUUUCCUUCCUUGGGAUCCGUGCCGUAGCUAACGCAUUAAGUACCCCGCCUGGGGAGUACGGCCGCAAGGCUAAAACUCAAAGAAAUUGACGGGGGCCCGCACAAGCGGCGGAGCAUGUGGAUUAAUUCGAUGCAACGCGAAGAACCUUACCUGGGUUUGACAUGCACAGGACGUGCCUAGAGAUAGGUAUUCCCUUGU
RNAcentral lists this ribosomal RNA (626 nucleotides) under Mycobacterium sp. Ri3Pt_4301. RNAcentral's name for it is "bacterial SSU rRNA". It matches the Rfam family "Bacterial small subunit ribosomal RNA", at positions 387 to 1021 of the family's 1533-position model. The record is from RNAcentral. Lineage: Bacteria; Bacillati; Actinomycetota; Actinomycetes; Mycobacteriales; Mycobacteriaceae.